RNAcentral lists this ribosomal RNA (253 nucleotides) under uncultured bacterium. RNAcentral describes it as "partial 16S ribosomal RNA". It matches the Rfam family "Bacterial small subunit ribosomal RNA", at positions 524 to 776 of the family's 1533-position model. The record is from RNAcentral.
UACGUAGGGUCCAAGCGUUAUCCGGAAUCACUGGGCGUAAAGCGUGCGUAGGUGGAUGUUUAAGUGUGAUGUUAAAUCGUGUGGCUCAACCAUAUCGAUGCAUCGCAUACUGGACGUCUAGAGGACAGCAGAGGCAAGUGGAAUUUGUAGUGUAGCAGUGAAAUGCGUAGAUAUUACAAGGAACACCAAUGGCGAAGGCAGCUUGCUGGGCUACUCCUGACACUAAGGUACGAAAGCGUGGGGAGCGAACAGG